GCGGAUGUGGUGGAACGGCAGACACGCUAUCUUGAGGGGGUAGUGCUCAAUGGGCGUGCGGGUUCAAAUCCCGCCAUCCGCACCA
RNAcentral lists this transfer RNA (85 nucleotides) under Bacillota bacterium. RNAcentral describes it as "tRNA-Leu". It matches the Rfam family "tRNA". From Rfam's summary of the family: Transfer RNA (tRNA) molecules are approximately 80 nucleotides in length. Their secondary structure includes four short double-helical elements and three loops (D, anti-codon, and T loops). RNAcentral also lists the same sequence under 2 other names. The record is from RNAcentral. Lineage: Bacteria; Bacillati; Bacillota.